Gallus gallus (chicken) is the source of this 443-nucleotide long non-coding RNA. Lineage: Eukaryota; Metazoa; Chordata; Aves; Galliformes; Phasianidae. The record is from Ensembl.
UGAGCACUACCAGAGUGAGGCUACAUAGCUGUAAACAAAACCCUUUCUUGUUUAAAUUGGCGUGAGUUUAAGCACUCACAGUUCACGGAAUUGAUCAUCUUUUACAGGAGUACAGAGAUGCUCUCUAAAAAAGCAACCUGAUAGCAAGUUUUUUUAAUUAUUUGAGUGGAGAGAAGGGGGAAAGAUGAGAACCCAGACAAGGGGAAAGCUUGUCACAGCCUGCUCUAGGAGAAUUUGGGGCAACAAGGAGAAACAGGGGCAGGUUCAUGACUGGCUGGAUUCCUCCACUGCUCCAGUUAAUUCAGAGAAGCACUCAAACUAACAGCCUUUGCCCAAACACACUGGAGAGGUGCAACAUGCUGCAUUCCCAAACACUGAAUUUGAGCCUCACUCAUACAGUCCUUCGAGUAAUACACACAGAAGUCGACUCUUUGAAACAAACC